UACGUAGGGUGCGAGCGUUAAUCGGAAUUACUGGGCGUAAAGCGUGCGCAGGCGGUUUUGUAAGCCAGAUGUGAAAUCCCCGGGCUUAACCUGGGAAUGGCAUUUGGGACUGCAAGGCUUGAGUGCGGCAGAGGAGACUGGAAUUCCUGGUGUAGCAGUGAAAUGCGUAGAUAUCAGGAGGAACACCGAUGGCGAAGGCAGGUCUCUGGCUGGACACUGACGCUCAUGCACGAAAGCGUGGGGAGCGAA
This 249-nucleotide ribosomal RNA is filed under the name uncultured bacterium. RNAcentral's name for it is "partial 16S ribosomal RNA". It matches the Rfam family "Bacterial small subunit ribosomal RNA", at positions 524 to 772 of the family's 1533-position model. The record is from RNAcentral.